CUCGUAGGCGGCCAACUAAGUCAGACGUGAAAUCCCUCGGCUUAACCGGGGAACUGCGUCUGAUACUGGAUGGCUCGAGUUUGGGAGAGGGAUGCGGAAUUCCAGGUGUAGCGGUGAAAUGCGUAGAUAUCUGGAGGAACACCGGUGGCGAAGGCGGCAUCCUGGACCAACACUGACGCUGAUGAGCGAAAGCCAGGGGAGCAAACG
This 207-nucleotide ribosomal RNA is filed under the name uncultured bacterium. RNAcentral describes it as "partial 16S ribosomal RNA". It matches the Rfam family "Bacterial small subunit ribosomal RNA", at positions 568 to 774 of the family's 1533-position model. The record is from RNAcentral.